GGAAUCCCGCAAGGGGGGAACCGGCGUAAGGGGCAGUAAGGCAUGGGUACCUACCCGGGGGUUCGGGAUAGCCAUCAGAGAUGGUGGGUAAUACCGGAUGACCUCGUGAGAGCAAAGAUUCAUCGCCCGCGGAGGGGCCCAUGUGAUAUUAGCUAGUUGGUGGGGUAACGGCCCACCAAGGCGAAGAUGUCUAGCGGGUGUGAGAGCACGACCCGCGCCACUCGCACUGAGACACUGGCGAGACACCUACGGGUGGCUGCAGUCGAGGAUCUUCGGCAAUGGGGGCAACCCUGACCGAGCGAUGCCGCGUGCGCGAUGAAGGCCUUCGGGUUGUAAAGCGCUUUAGUGGGGGAGAAAAGCCGCGAGGUGUGAUCUAUCCCAAAAAUAAGCUCGGGCUAAGUUCGUGCCAGCAGCCGCGGUAAGACGAACCGAGCGAACGUUGUUCGGAAUCACUGGGCUUAAAGGGCGCGUAGGCGGGCUAUCAAGUCUGGGGUGAAAUGCCGCGGCUCAACCGCGGAACGGCCUCAGAUACUGACGGCCUGGAGGGAGGUAGGGGCAUGCGGAACUGUAGGUGGAGCGGUGAAAUGCGUUGAUAUCUACAGGAACUCCGGUGGCGAAAGCGGCGUGCUGGACCUCUUCUGACGCUGAGGCGCGAAAGCUAGGGGAGCGAACGGGAUUAGAUACCCCGGUAGUCCUAGCCCUAAACGAUGGGUACUAGAUAGUAGGCCGGAUAUGGGCUUACUGUCGAAGUUAAAAUGCUAAGUACCCCGCCUGGGGAGUAUGGUCGCAAGGCUGAAACUCAAAGAAAUUGACGGGGGCUCACACAAGCGGUGGAGCAUGUGGCUUAAUUCGAGGCUACGCGAAGAACCUUAUCCUGGACUUGACAUGUGCGAAAGCGCUCGGCAGUAGGACCCGGAAACGGGAACGGACCCCAGCAAUGGGGGGACCGAGCACAGGUGCUGCAUGGCUGUCGUCAGCUCGUGUCUUG
This 988-nucleotide ribosomal RNA is filed under the name Gemmata obscuriglobus. RNAcentral describes it as "bacterial SSU rRNA". It matches the Rfam family "Bacterial small subunit ribosomal RNA", at positions 71 to 1069 of the family's 1533-position model. The record is from RNAcentral. Lineage: Bacteria; Pseudomonadati; Planctomycetota; Planctomycetia; Gemmatales; Gemmataceae.